GGGGGUAUAGCUCAGGGGGAGCGUGUUUGACUGCAGCUCAAGUGGCCCUUGGUUCAAAUCCAAGUGCCCCCU
Non-coding RNA from Dermochelys coriacea (leatherback sea turtle), 72 nucleotides. NCBI's taxonomy places the organism in Eukaryota, Metazoa, Chordata, Testudines, Dermochelyidae. The record is from the annotation of a RefSeq genome assembly.